CAGAGAUCCAGAGGCUGUGACAUCCUAAAGGCAUAAUGAAAAUUCAAAUUGCCGACCAGUUCUUUGCAUCAGGUUUCAACACACACAAGCUCCGGUGUGGGAGUGAGGCAAAGUUCACGAGAGACUAAUUGAAAAUGAGGUGUGACAUUAAUUUUAAAUUUGCUCAUUUGAAUGGAUCCUUGUAAAUGUCUGAGGCUCCAGCUCUGGGUUCCCUCCCAGUAUAGUCACAGACCGGC
This is a long non-coding RNA of Suricata suricatta (meerkat), 236 nucleotides long. RefSeq lists it as uncharacterized. The record is from RefSeq and is a predicted model, not a curated record. Lineage: Eukaryota; Metazoa; Chordata; Mammalia; Carnivora; Herpestidae. The transcript is spliced from 3 exons.